This 516-nucleotide ribosomal RNA is filed under the name uncultured bacterium. Its description in RNAcentral is "bacterial SSU rRNA". It matches the Rfam family "Bacterial small subunit ribosomal RNA", at positions 8 to 521 of the family's 1533-position model. The record is from RNAcentral.
AGAGUUUGAUAACGGCUCAGAGUGAACGCUGGCGGCAUGCUUUACACAGACAAGUGGUCCGGCAGCACGGGGGUAGCCUUGGUGGCGAGUGCAGAACGGGUGAGUAAUACAUUUGAUAGUAUCCGGGAGUGGGGGAUACACAGAAAACGUUGUGCUAAUGGACCAUGAACUCUGAGGAAAAAGUGGGGGACCGUAAGGCCUCACGGUAAAGGGGCGGCCGAUUUCGGUUAAAGAAAAGGGUGAGGUAAAGGCUCACCAAGGUUUCGAUCGGUACCUGGUAAGCGAGGAUUAUCAACCACAUUGGGAAGGAGACUCGGCCCCGACUCAUACGGGAGGCGGCACUGGUGAAUUUUGUACAAUGGGGGCAACCCUGAUCCAACCAUGCCGGAUAAUUGAAGAAGGCCUUCGGGUUGGAAAGAUCGUUGGUGAGGGAAGAAACGUUCAUUGUGAAUAGCUGUGGAAACUCACGGUACCUCAAGAAGAAGCACCGGCUAAAUUCGUGCCAGCCGCCGCGGU